This 329-nucleotide long non-coding RNA is filed under the name Homo sapiens (human). Its description in RNAcentral is "HSALNT0054790". Lineage: Eukaryota; Metazoa; Chordata; Mammalia; Primates; Hominidae. The record is from RNAcentral.
UGAAGAGCCAGUCACCAUGGCCACAUCUUGAGGUCACACAGUCAGCAGUUCGCUUUGCUCACUCAGUCCUAUAAGGGGAAGAAAAGACUCCUUGCUCAUUCUGAGAAGGCACAGCAAAAUAUGACAUUAAGAUUACCCGUCAGUUUGGCCAGAACAGCAAGGUGGCCAGUGGGCUAGUGUGAAAUAAUUAAGAGGACAAUUCAUAGAAAAUGGAAAUGGAAAGACAGCAGGAGGGCAGACCAAACAGUAUCUCCUGGACCCGUUAAAGGCUUUGGAUUUUACACUGGAGAAAUGGAAAGCCUGCGACUAACUGAAAAAGUUACACAGCU